This 478-nucleotide ribosomal RNA is filed under the name uncultured bacterium. RNAcentral's name for it is "partial 16S ribosomal RNA". It matches the Rfam family "Bacterial small subunit ribosomal RNA", at positions 28 to 523 of the family's 1533-position model. The record is from RNAcentral.
GACGAACGCUGGCGGCGUGCUUAACACAUUCAAGUCGAACGGUAAGGCCCUUCGGGGUACACGAGUGGCCAACGGGUGAGUAACACGGGGGUGAUCUGCCCUGCACUUCGGGAUAAGCCUGGGAAACUGGGUCUAAUACCGGACAGGACCACUGCCUGCAUGGGUGGGGGUGGAAAGCUUUUGCGGUGUGGGGUGGGCCCGCGGCCUAUCAGCUUGUUGGUGGGGGGAAGGCCUCCCAAGGCGACGACGGGGAGCCGGCCUGAGAGGGUGACCGGCAACAGUGGGAGUGAGAUACGGCCCAGAGGCCUAGGGGGGGGAGCAGUGUGGAAGAUGGCGUAAUGCGCGCAAUGCGGAUGCAGCGACGCCGCGUGAGGGAUGACGGCCUUCGGGUUGUAAACCUCUUUCAGCACCGACGAAGCGCAAGUUACGGUAGGCGCAGAAGAAGGACCGGCCAACUACGUGCCAGCAGCCGCGGUAA